GGACGCAUAUCCACAUUCAGGCGGCGAAAAUAAUGAGCACCAGUACGUGAAUGGAAAAUAUUUUCAUUCACUGAAUGUUCAGGUUAAUGUUUAUCAACGUGCUUGCAAAGUGGCAUCCAGGGUGUCUGCAGCCUUUGGAAGCAACUGUAGACUAUUGGACCGGGUCAUGCUAGGUGACAGUAGCUGCAUGAUAGGAGAGUGAUUGUUGACACCAUUUCAGCAUCCUGCACCCUUGCAGGAAAGGAAAUACAACACAGCACAUAGCUGUACAUGCAACUGGCAUAGCUAAAAAGAGAUGGGAUUGUCUCUAGGGUUUGAAGAUGGAACCAGAUCAGGCAUGUGAAGUGACUGUGUUCUCAAUCGGGGAGAGCCAGACAAUGAUGGCGACAAUAAUGAUGUUGGACAUAACAAUGAUUUACAUAAUGAAAAAUCACUACAAUAAAAUCAAUGACACUGUUUCAGAACAUGAUGCUCCCACAGAAAGAGCCCAUGUUGCAGCAGGCCAAGCUGUCAGGAACCAAUCUGUUUAUAGACUUUUCUUGUAAAUAUGUUAAACCAUAAUUUUAUACAUUUCAGAACUAUUUUGAUAACGAAGUUAGAACAUCAACAAUAGACAUAGUCAACAGUUUAGAUGUAGGCCCAACAUGUGUUACAACAGGUCAAGCUGCUAGUAUCCAGUUUAUAAGUAGAUUUUUCUUGUGAAUAUAUCAUAAUUUUAUACUUUCUGUAGAGUUCACAAUAUCAGAACUAUGUGACUGUAGAAAUAGUUAAAUUUUCAUUCUUAUGAAACUUAGUAGCUGUUCACUCAUACAGAUCUCUUUAGAAAGUAGCAAAUGCUUUUUAACUUUAAUAAAUGAAAGAUGCAGUUCUUCUUGGACAGGACAUUUCAAAAAAUGUAUGAGGUUUCCUUUAUGAAAUUAUUACAAGGGAAAAUUUCGACAUAGGCUUGCAGACAGUAGUGCAUGUGGUGGCCUCUGCAAGUGUUUGUCAAGAGUAGCGGUCAUCACUAAGACAUGUUCUUAAUGCUGUCACUUGGCUAUUAAAAUCUUAUAUUCUUCUUGAACAAUAUUUUACAUGUGCAACUCUUUGGAAUAAAUGUUUGAGGCUUCCA
Pomacea canaliculata is the source of this 1111-nucleotide long non-coding RNA. RefSeq lists it as uncharacterized. NCBI's taxonomy places the organism in Eukaryota, Metazoa, Mollusca, Gastropoda, Architaenioglossa, Ampullariidae. The transcript is spliced from 3 exons. The record is from RefSeq and is a predicted model, not a curated record.